AUGCGAGUCGAGCGGAUGAGAGGAGCUUGCUCCUGGAUUCAGCGGCGGACGGGUGAGUAAUGCCUAGGAAUCUGCCUGGUAGUGGGGGACAACGUUUCGAAAGGAACGCUAAUACCGCAUACGUCCUAUGGGAGAAAGCACGGGACCUUCGGGCCUUGCGCUAUCAGAUGAGCCUAGGUCGGAGUAGCUAGUUGGUGAGGGGAUGGCGCACCAAGGCUACGAUCCGUAACUGUGCUGAGAGGAUGAUCAGUCACACUGGAACUGACACGGGUCCAGACUCCUACGGGAGGCAGCAGUGGGGAAUAUUGGACAAUGGGCGAAAGCCUGAUCCAGCCAUGCCGCGUGUGUGAAGAAGGUCUUCGGAUUGUAAAGCACUUUAAGUUGGGAGGAAGGGCAGUAACUUAAUACGUUGCUGUUUUGACGUUACCGACAGAAUAAGCACCGGCUAACUCUGUGCCAGCAGCCGCGGUAAUACAGAGGGUGCAAGCGUUAAUCGGAAUUACUGGGCGUAAAGCGCGCGUAGGUGGUUCGUUAAGUUGGAUGUGAAAUCCCCGGGCUCAACCUGGGAACUGCAUUCAAAACUGUCGAGCUAGAGUAUGGUAGAGGGUGGUGGAAUUUCCUGUGUAGCGGUGAAAUGCGUA
Molecule: ribosomal RNA, 641 nt
Filed under: Pseudomonas sp.
Lineage: Bacteria; Pseudomonadati; Pseudomonadota; Gammaproteobacteria; Pseudomonadales; Pseudomonadaceae
Description: bacterial SSU rRNA
Rfam family: Bacterial small subunit ribosomal RNA
Source: RNAcentral